AAAAGGUGGCUAUGCUACCGCUUUUGGAUGGGCCCGCGGUGCAUUAGCUAGUUGGUGGGGUAAAGGCUUACCAAGGCAAUGAUGCGUAGCCGAACUGAGAGGUUGAUCGGCCACAUUGGGACUGAGACACGGCCCAAACUCCUACGGGAGGCAGCAGUAGGGAAUCUUCCACAAUGGGCGAAAGCCUGAUGGAGCAACGCCGCGUGGGUGAAGAAGGUCUUCGGAUCGUAAAACCCUGUUGUUAGAGAAGAAAGUGCGUGAGAGUAACUGUUCACGUUUCGACGGUAUCUAACCAGAAAGCCACGGCUAACUACGUGCCAGCAGCCGCGGUAAUACGUAGGUGGCAAGCGUUAUCCGGAUUUAUUGGGCGUAAAGGGAACGCAGGCGGUCUUUUAAGUCUGAUGUGAAAGCCUUCGGCUUAACCGGAGUAGUGCAUUGGAAACUGGGAGACUUGAGUGCAGAAGAGGAGAGUGGAACUCCAUGUGUAGCGGUGAAAUGCGUAGAUAUAUGGAAGAACACCAGUGGCGAAAGCGGCUCUCUGGUCUGUAACUGACGCUGAGGUUCGAAAGCGUGGGUAGCAAACAGGAUUAGAUACCCUGGUAGUCCACGCCGUAAACGAUGAAUGCUAAGUGUUGGAGGGUUUCCGCCCUUCA
Molecule: ribosomal RNA, 653 nt
Filed under: uncultured bacterium
Lineage: Bacteria
Description: bacterial SSU rRNA
Rfam family: Bacterial small subunit ribosomal RNA
Source: RNAcentral